Molecule: ribosomal RNA, 318 nt
Filed under: Triticum aestivum (bread wheat)
Lineage: Eukaryota; Viridiplantae; Streptophyta; Magnoliopsida; Poales; Poaceae
Description: partial small subunit ribosomal RNA
Source: RNAcentral
AUGGAAAUAACUCAAAAGAAGAGAACGGAGAUGUUGUCUCUUUGCAAUUCGAUAACCGUCAGUUCAGUUACUAAGAACUCAAGACCAUCACAAAUAGAUUCGAGAAUUCCAUUGGCAAACGUCAGUUUGGAGUUGUCUAUCUUGGCUACUUGGAACAUGGAAACCCAGUUACUAUUACUGUUGUUUGGUAUUUGGACAUAUCUUUCUGAGAGGGAGAUGGGAACAGACAAAUUCGGGGAGAUGGGAACCGACAAAUUCAGUGAAGGUUGGCUGCGCGUAAACUAUUGUGAUCAAGUUGGGAACAAAUGUUUCCUCUAA